UACGGAGGGUGCAAGCGUUAUCCGGAUUCACUGGGUUUAAAGGGUGCGUAGGCGGGUAAGUAAGUCCGGGGUGAAAUCUCUGAGCUUAACUCAGAAACUGCCGUGGAUACUAUUUGCCUUGAAUAUUGUGGAGGUGAGCGGAAUAUGUCAUGUAGCGGUGAAAUGCUUAGAUAUGACAUAGAACACCAAUUGCGAAGGCAGCUCACUACACAAUCAUUGACGCUGAGGCACGAAAGCGUGGGGAUCAAACAGG
This 253-nucleotide ribosomal RNA is filed under the name uncultured bacterium. RNAcentral describes it as "partial 16S ribosomal RNA". It matches the Rfam family "Bacterial small subunit ribosomal RNA", at positions 524 to 776 of the family's 1533-position model. The record is from RNAcentral.